ACGCACGCUGGCGGCAUGCCUAACACAUGCAAGUCGAACGAGACCUUCGGGUCUAGUGGCGCACGGGUGCGUAACGCGUGGGAACCUGCCCUUAGGUUCGGAAUAACUCCCCGAAAGGGGUGCUAAUACCGGAUAAUGUCUUCGGACCAAAGAUUUAUCGCCUUUGGAUGGGCCCGCGUUGGAUUAGCUAGUUGGUAGGGUAAAAGCCUACCAAGGCGACGAUCCAUAGCUGGUCUGAGAGGAUGAUCAGCCACACUGGGACUGAGACGCGGCCCAGACUCCUACGGGAGGCAGCAGUGGGGAAUAUUGGACAAUGGGCGAAAGCCUGAUCCAGCAAUGCCGCGUGAGUGAUGAAGGCCUUAGGGUUGUAAAGCUCUUUUACCCGGGAUGAUAAUGACAGUACCGGGAGAAUAAGCUCCGGCUAACUCCGUG
This 432-nucleotide ribosomal RNA is filed under the name uncultured bacterium. Its description in RNAcentral is "partial 16S ribosomal RNA". It matches the Rfam family "Bacterial small subunit ribosomal RNA", at positions 29 to 507 of the family's 1533-position model. The record is from RNAcentral.